CCGCCCUAGUUCUGACCGUAAACGAUACCAUCUAGCGAUCCGAUAGGGUCAUUUAGCCUUAUCGGGGAGCUUCCCGGAAACGAAAGUCUUUCGGUUCCGGGGGUAGUAUGGUUGCAAAGCUGAAACUUAAAGAAAUUGACGGAAGGGCACCACCAGGAGUGGAGCUUGCGGCUUAAUUUGACUCAACACGGGAAAACUCACCCGGUCCGGACACCAUAAGGAUUGACAGAUUGAUAGCUCUUUCUUGAUUUGGUGGUUGGUGGUGCAUGGCCGUUCUUAGUUGGUGGAGUAAUUUGUCUGGUUUAUUCCGAUAACGAGCGAGACUCUAGCCUGCUAAAUAGCUCGCGGAUAACUCUCGAGGUCCGUGCAAUGCUUCUUAGAGGAAUAGGCGGUGCUUAGCCGCACGAGAUUGAGCGAUAACAGGUCUGUGAUGCCCUUAGAUGUCCGGGGCUGCACGCGUGCUACACUGGAAGAGUCAACGUGUGCCUCAUCCAUCGCCGAAAGGCGUUGGUAAACCGUUGAAAUUCUUCCGUGACUGGGAUAGGGAAUUGUAAUUAUUUCCCUUGAACGAGGAAUUCCUAGUAAGUGCGAGUCAUCAGCUCGCGCUGA
This 609-nucleotide ribosomal RNA is filed under the name Protorhabditis sp. VS-2014. RNAcentral's name for it is "SSU rRNA". It matches the Rfam family "Eukaryotic small subunit ribosomal RNA", at positions 1015 to 1644 of the family's 1831-position model. Lineage: Eukaryota; Metazoa; Nematoda; Chromadorea; Rhabditida; Rhabditidae. The record is from RNAcentral.